UACGUAGGGGGCAAGCGUUAUCCGGAAUUACUGGGUGUAAAGGGAGCGUAGACGGUAAUGUAAGUCUGGAGUGAAAGGCGGGGGCCCAACCCCCGGACUGCUCUGGAAACUAUGUUACUAGAGUGCAGGAGAGGUAAGCGGAAUUCCUAGUGUAGCGGUGUAAUGCGUAGAUAUUAGGAGGAACACCAGUGGCGAAGGCGGCUUACUGGACUGUAACUGACGUUGAGGCUCGAAAGCGUGGGGAGCAAACAGG
RNAcentral lists this ribosomal RNA (253 nucleotides) under uncultured bacterium. Its description in RNAcentral is "partial 16S ribosomal RNA". It matches the Rfam family "Bacterial small subunit ribosomal RNA", at positions 524 to 776 of the family's 1533-position model. The record is from RNAcentral.